UACGGAGGGUGCAAGCGUUAAUCGGAAUUACUGGGCGUAAAGCGCACGCAGGUGGCUGAGUCAGUCGAUUGUGAAAGCCCUGGGCUUAACCUGGGAAUUGCAGUCGAUACUACUCGGCUAGAGUAUGGGAGAGGGCAGUGGAAUUCCCGGUGUAGCGGUGAAAUGCGUAGAUAUCAGUCGGAACACCCGUGGCGAAGGCGGCUUCUUGGGCCGUAACUGACGCUGAGGCGCGAAAGCUGGGGGAGCGAACGGG
Molecule: ribosomal RNA, 253 nt
Filed under: uncultured prokaryote
Description: partial 16S ribosomal RNA
Rfam family: Bacterial small subunit ribosomal RNA
Source: RNAcentral